CUACGGGUGGCUCCAGGCGCGAAAACUUUACAAUGCAGGAAACUGUGAUAAGGGAACCCCGAGUGCCCGUACACGCGGGCUGUCUGGGUGUUUAAAAUGCACCCAAAGAAAGGGCCGGGCAAGACCGGUGCCAGCCGCCGCGGUAAUACCGGCGGCUCGAGUGGUGACCACCUUUAUUGGGCUUAAAGCGUUCGUAGCUGGACUGCUAAGUCCCUUGGGAAAUCCGCCGGCUUAACCGGCGGGCGUCUAAGGGAUACUGGCAGUCUUGGGACCGGGAGAGGUAAGAGGUACUCCGGGGGUAGGAGUGAUAUCCUGUAAUCCCCGGGGGACCACCGGUGGCGAAGGCGUCUUACCAGAACGGCUCCGACAGUGAGGAACGAAAGCUGGGGGAGCGAACCGGAUUAGAUACCCGGGUAGUC
This 419-nucleotide ribosomal RNA is filed under the name uncultured archaeon. RNAcentral's name for it is "partial 16S ribosomal RNA". It matches the Rfam family "Archaeal small subunit ribosomal RNA", at positions 323 to 746 of the family's 1478-position model. The record is from RNAcentral.